UACGUAGGGGGCAAGCGUUGUCCGGAAUUAUUGGGCGUAAAGAGCGCGUAGGCGGUCCGAUAAGUCGGCUGUGAAAGUCAGGGGCUCAACCCUUGGAAGCCGGCCGAUACUGUCGGACUAGAGUCCGGAAGAGGCGAGUGGAAUUCCCGGUGUAGCGGUGAAAUGCGCAGAUAUCGGGAGGAACACCAAUGGCGAAGGCAGCUCGCUGGGACGGUACUGACGCUGAGGCGCGAAAGCCAGGGGAGCGAACGGG
RNAcentral lists this ribosomal RNA (253 nucleotides) under uncultured bacterium. RNAcentral's name for it is "partial 16S ribosomal RNA". It matches the Rfam family "Bacterial small subunit ribosomal RNA", at positions 524 to 776 of the family's 1533-position model. The record is from RNAcentral.